UACGUAGGGACCAAGCGUUGUUCGGAUUUACUGGGCGUAAAGGGCGCGUAGGCGGCGUGUUAAGUCACUUGUGAAAUCUCUAAGCUUAACUUAGAACGGUCAAGUGAUACUGAUGUGCUAGAGUGCAGAAGGGGCAACCGGAAUUCUUGGUGUAGCGGUGAAAUGCGUAGAUAUCAAGAGGAACACCUGAGGUGAAGACGGGUUGCUGGGCUGACACUGACGCUGAGGCGCGAAAGCUAGGGUAGCAAACGGA
Molecule: ribosomal RNA, 253 nt
Filed under: uncultured bacterium
Lineage: Bacteria
Description: partial 16S ribosomal RNA
Rfam family: Bacterial small subunit ribosomal RNA
Source: RNAcentral